UGUAUGAGAAGCUUUAUUAUUCUAACAGAUUUUGUUUACAAGCAGAAAAUAUUGGUAAAUCUCAUAUAACAUAAGGAUGUAUCAAUAGUUCCAUAUGCUAUGCUUUAAUAGAGUUCUGUAAGGUUUCUAAAGAUGACUUAAGUCAGCGUCACUGAAAAUAAAGAGUCAGAAAUAACCUAAAAAUUGAGUGAUUCCAUAGAACAAAUAUAUUCAUUUUACAGAUGGGGAACUGCGACAUGAAGAAGUUAACUUACCUAAGAUCAGAGAAUGAGUCAAGGACAGAACAGGACCAUGUCAUCAAAUUUAGAGAAACUUGAACUAUACACUACUUUGGAGAAAGCUGACCUAAGAUGCAGAAUUAGAGGUGCUCCAAAGGCCCAGAAUAUCCAUUGCCACCUAUUGAUGCAGCACAAGAUCUACAAUGUUCCUGGUGUCAGGAUGCCCAUUAUGGAAGCUUACACUGUUGUGGGAGAAUUAAGUCUUGGCAUAACCCAAGAACAUCUCAAAAUCUUCAAAAAGCACAUGUUUCUUGAGAUAACAAAUGAAACUUGGGAAGGGGAGACAUAUAGGGUUUCUCAAAUGUGUUAUUCCAAAAUCAAGCAAAUCAAUAAAAAAAUUGAGACUAGUGUUCCCAAGAAAACAUAGUGAUAAAUGAUGCCUUUCUGGGCUCUUAGUAGCUCUUUAGCUUGAUCUAUGGGACACUGAAGUUGCUCGGAUGAGGUAGAGCAAGAAUGAGAGAAAAUGGGCCUAUCUGGAAGGUACUUUGGCAAUACAGCAGUUAAGCAAAAUCAGGUUAACUCCACCUGAAAAUUGCCUACUUUUGGGACAGUCACCCACCACCCCUACUUAAUAUGAAAAAGAAAACAGUUUCAUCUUUUUUGCAGCCAAGAAAACUUCCUCAGAGUGUUGAUACAUGAACUGGGAUUUGAGAACCAUCUUCUCAAUUCCCAACAGGCUUCAACAAUGGAAAUACUGUGGCAAUGUCUUCAUUGACACCAGACUACUUUGAGGAACUACAGACCCCCCUCAGUUUUGAACCACAGAGAGCCAUUUACUGGACUGAAAUUGUCAGGGGUUUGGAAUCAGUUUCUCCAUCCAGCAAAUGGGGGUAAUAAUGUGUCUUGUAGGGUAGAUAUUGGGAUUAGGUGGGUUGAUUCAUAAAAAGAAUCUAAUAAUGCUAGACAUAUUGUAGGCACUCGGUAACAAAGGACAUUAUUAGCUGGAACUUCCUCAAGAAGUUGAGACUCCUUACCAUUUUGCAAGAUGGAGCACCAUCUUCUGACCCAACAGAGCAAUACAAUUUGAAGGACCCUGCUGAGAGUGAAGGUCUAGCAUUCAUCUUCAGUAAUUAAUACAUGCCCUAGGGGAUGCUUGUGAUUGGAAAUGGGAGGGCAGAAGACUGUUUUUUACUUUUUGAUUGAGUGCUUUUUUUUUAUCUCAAGCUGUUCUGAAUGUCAUGGAGAGUUAAUGAAGACAUGUUGUACACCCACUGCAAACACAAUAAAAGAGAAAAUGCAACCAAUUCUACCACUGUCUGAGUAGAUUAAAUCCUCAGUUAUACUAGAAGUUCAGGGAAGAAAAUGAGAGCUGUGUUAGGAGAUGGAUGGGGAUAACACUGGUUACAAAGUCAGAAAAAAACGAGGAAGGAUCCUCUUCCAUCUUUUCAAAUUUCUCCACUUUUCCUUCCUUCUUCAACUCCUCCCUCCCUCAACAGCUAAGGACAGAGAGUGGGCACAAAGUGUCUGCAUUGACUUUAGCAUCAGAUAAUAAAAUCAGCAUAAUUUAGUCUUAAUACUGUGUCCAGAGUUAUGAUCUCUAUGUUUUUCUUACCACCAUUUAGUGAAAUUGCAGAAAAUCACCUAAAAAAGAAAAAAAAGCAGUAACAUUCCAUCAGUAGCUUUUGCUUCUCAAAGACUGGCUUCAAAUAACAGAUGUGACGUUCUUCAGGUUAGCCGCUACUCACGACACUUGAGAUAUCCAACUGGGAACAAUCUCCCUGAGUUGGAAUAAAUGAGAUGAUCUAAUACCUGAAGAUUCCCCAACUCCAGCCCGUUUCUUACAUAUACAAUACAUCUGAGAAAUGGCUGAAUGCAUUCUUCCCAAAAGAUUGGGUAGGGCACUUCUUCUUUCAUGAGACAGCAAUUUAGAGGGACCCCAAGGGGGUAGCUGAGGAGGUUAAGAAAGUCUGCAAACUUGUUUGAAAUCUCUAGGGUGAAUUUUCCUG
Molecule: long non-coding RNA, 2224 nt
Organism: Pan troglodytes (chimpanzee)
Lineage: Eukaryota; Metazoa; Chordata; Mammalia; Primates; Hominidae
Source: Ensembl